This is a non-coding RNA of Phoenix dactylifera (date palm), 1210 nucleotides long. NCBI's taxonomy places the organism in Eukaryota, Viridiplantae, Streptophyta, Magnoliopsida, Arecales, Arecaceae. The record is from RefSeq and is a predicted model, not a curated record.
UAAAAACCUCCGCACUUCCUCGCGAAUCAAGUACUGAAAGCAAGCCCGAGGGGAUUUAGCGCUGCUCUCUCUCGCUCUCGCUCUCGCUCUCGCUCGCACGCAUCGAUCGCUCGCUACCUCCCCAUGGCUUCGGUAGUUUCUGCUGCGAUGCCACGAAGCCAGGUGGAUCUAGUCGAUUUCGUGGACUGGAGCGGAGUCGAAUGCCUCAAUCAGAGCACGAGUCACUCGCUCGACAAUGCCUUGAAACAGGGUUAUAGGGAUGAUGAUGGUUUGCAUCUUGAGAGCGAUGCAGAUGAGCAGCUUUUAAUUUAUAUUCCCUUCACUCAAGUGAUCAAGCUGCAUUCAGUAAUUAUCAAAGGGCCAGAAGAGGAAGGCCCAAAGACGGUUAAGCUUUUUGCAAACAAAGAGCACAUGGGCUUUAGUAAUGCUAAUGACUACGUACCAAGUGACUCAAUUGCUUUAUCCCCAGAAAAUCUGAAGGGAACGCCUGUUAACUUAAAGUACGUCAAGUUUCAGAGUGUUCGCAGCUUGACAAUUUUUAUUGAGGACAACCAAGGUGGUAAUGAUAUCUCUAAGAUUCAGAAGAUUGUCCUCUGUGGAACUACGGUGGACACGACAAACAUGAAGGAUUUGAAGAAGAUUGAAGAGCACUGAGUGUGUGAUAUCUGAUGAGAUAUGCAGUUAUAUCACGGUACGCUAAGUCGACACCUCCUUCCAUCUGCCUGGUCGCCAGUGAUGGAUAUUCCAAGACUCACUGUAAGCGAAUAUGAGCAGGGCAUGGCUUUUUGUUCAACCUAGGUCCAAAAUUUCAAACUCUAGGCUGGUUUGAAGGCUAGUGGGGGUAAGGAUGGAGUGGGGAGACAACUGCUUUCUUUGGUCCCUUUCCUUUCCGUGCGUCCAUCAGAUUUGGAGCAGUCGGAGGCUUACUCCAAGUUCUCUGCUUUCCACGGGAGGACUGUGUGAGAAAUUAACUUCCUCACUGGAGACACUGAACACCAAUACACUUGUUUGUGCAUGAGACAAUAAAUUAAAUGAGAUUCUCCAAAAUUUUAUGCUGUGGGGGGCAUCAACAGGGGUACAACAUAAGGAGGCUUUGUUGGGUCAAGUCCAGCUUGAGAUUUAAACCUGAACAGACCCACUGAUGAUUCAAGCCGGGUCGGGUUUGUUUUCGAAGUUUUCUGACAUGAAGUGAAUCAGCAUUUUCUUUCAA